CGAUAUAACUCAGUUGGUAGAGUAGCUGAUUUGUAAUCAGCCUGUCGGGGGUUCAAGUCCCUCUAUCGG
This 69-nucleotide transfer RNA is filed under the name bovine gut metagenome. It matches the Rfam family "tRNA". From Rfam's summary of the family: Transfer RNA (tRNA) molecules are approximately 80 nucleotides in length. The record is from RNAcentral.